RNAcentral lists this transfer RNA (72 nucleotides) under Mus musculus (house mouse). Its description in RNAcentral is "tRNA-Ser". The record is from RNAcentral. Lineage: Eukaryota; Metazoa; Chordata; Mammalia; Rodentia; Muridae.
GGUGAGAUGGCUCAGUGGGUAAGAGCACCCGACUGCUCUUCCGAAGAUCCAGAGUUCAAAUCCCAGCAACCA